AGCGAACGCUGGCGGCAGGCCUAACACAUGCAAGUCGAACGGAUCCUUCGGGAUUAGUGGCGGACGGGUGAGUAACACGUGGGAACGUGCCCUUUGGUUCGGAACAACUCAGGGAAACUUGAGCUAAUACCGGAUGUGCCCUUCGGGGGAAAGAUUUAUCGCCAUUGGAGCGGCCCGCGUCUGAUUAGCUAGUUGGUGAGGUAAAGGCUCACCAAGGCGACGAUCAGUAGCUGGUCUGAGAGGAUGAUCAGCCACAUUGGGACUGAGACACGGCCCAAACUCCUACGGGAGGCAGCAGUGGGGAAUCUUGCGCAAUGGGCGAAAGCCUGACGCAGCCAUGCCGCGUGAAUGAUGAAGGUCUUAGGAUUGUAAAAUUCUUUCACCGGGGACGAUAAUGACGGUACCCGGAGAAGAAGCCCCGGCUAACUUCGUGCCAGCAGCCGCGGUAAUACGAAGGGGGCUAGCGUUGCUCGGAAUUACUGGGCGUAAAGGGAGCGUAGGCGGACUGUUAAGUUAGAGGUGAAAGCCCAGGGCUCAACCUUGGAAUUGCCUUUGAUACUGGCAGUCUUGAGUACGGAAGAGGUAUGUGGAACUCCGAGUGUAGAGGUGAAAUUCGUAGAUAUUCGGAAGAACACCAGUGGCGAAGGCGACAUACUGGUCCGUUACUGACGCU
Molecule: ribosomal RNA, 673 nt
Filed under: uncultured Alphaproteobacteria bacterium
Lineage: Bacteria; Pseudomonadati; Pseudomonadota; Alphaproteobacteria
Description: bacterial SSU rRNA
Rfam family: Bacterial small subunit ribosomal RNA
Source: RNAcentral